AGUGAACGCUGGCGGUAGGCCUAACACAUGCAAGUCGAACGGCAGCACAGGAGAGCUUGCUCUCUGGGUGGCGAGUGGCGGACGGGUGAGGAAUACAUCGGAAUCUACUUUUUCGUGGGGGAUAACGUAGGGAAACUUACGCUAAUACCGCAUACGACCUACGGGGGAAAGCAGGGGAUCUUCGGACCUUGCGCGAUUGAAUGAGCCGAUGUCGGAUUAGCUAGUUGGCGGGGGAAAGGCCCACCAAGGCGACGAUCCGUAGCUGGUCUGAGGGGAUGAUCAGCCACACUGGAACUGAGACACGGUCCAGACUCCUACGGGAGGCAGCAGUGGGGAAUAUUGGACAAUGGGCGCAAGCCUGAUCCAGCCAUACCGCGUGGGUGAAGAAGGCCUUCGGGUUGUAAAGCCCUUUUGUUGGGAAAGAAAUCCAGCUGGUUAAUACCCGGUUGGGAUGACGGUACCCAAAGAAUAAGCACCGGCUAACUUCGUGCCAGCCGCCGCAGUAA
RNAcentral lists this ribosomal RNA (506 nucleotides) under uncultured bacterium. RNAcentral's name for it is "partial 16S ribosomal RNA". It matches the Rfam family "Bacterial small subunit ribosomal RNA", at positions 29 to 523 of the family's 1533-position model. The record is from RNAcentral.